AAAAAUAAAAAUCACACCGAGAUUUACGUAGGAAAACUCCAACUUGGAGUAAAAAACCCACGCGACCAACAUGCGAAAAAAUAAUUCACUAAGAGAAAAGAUUACAAGGUGAUUACCGACUCCACGGACUCGACCUCUCUUAACCUCUUACGAAUCUCGCGCAAUCCUCCGGGUUAUCCACGCCCUCACGUUCGAAUCCACGAACGCCACGUUCCAAAUCCACGAAACGCCUCCAGUCCGAAUCCAUGAAGCUCACGAUCCGAAUCCACGAACCGCCGUCAAUCACGCCGAAUCCACGACGCCAUCCAUAAAAACAUCAUGCUAU
RNAcentral lists this long non-coding RNA (325 nucleotides) under Ananas comosus (pineapple). RNAcentral describes it as "long non-coding RNA (ACOM_LNC043186)". Lineage: Eukaryota; Viridiplantae; Streptophyta; Magnoliopsida; Poales; Bromeliaceae. The record is from RNAcentral.